CUAACGCCAAUGCCAUCAGCCGUAUAGCCAUGCCGGACCCUGGACAUGCCCUCCUCCCCACUCCAAAUGGUAGAAACCCAUUUGUUCUAUCUUCAAUUCCAUCAAAUCUACCAGGUUUGAACUUUGUGGGCUCUUCCCAGACCUUAGGGUCUAUAUGAAUUGCCCAGGCAUUUACUAACAACGUUGUACCACCAGGAAUUUCGAAUCCUUGUACGUUGCAAUCUUGCGAUGAACAAUGAGGUCCAACUGGGUACAGCCUGAGUGUUCAUUGAUUAUGCAGUGCAAGUAUGAUAGCUUAGGG
Molecule: long non-coding RNA, 301 nt
Filed under: Olea europaea (common olive)
Lineage: Eukaryota; Viridiplantae; Streptophyta; Magnoliopsida; Lamiales; Oleaceae
Description: long non-coding RNA (OEUR_LNC007338)
Source: RNAcentral